AAAGCGUGCGCAGGCGGUUUUGUAAGACUGUCGUGAAAUCCCCGGGCUCAACCUGGGAAUGGCGAUGGUGACUGCAAGGCUAGAGUUUGGCAGAGGGGGGUAGAAUUCCACGUGUAGCAGUGAAAUGCGUAGAUAUGUGGAGGAACACCGAUGGCGAAGGCAGCCCCCUGGGUCAAAACUGACGCUCAUGCACGAAAGCGUGGGGAGCAAACAGGAUUAGAUACUCGUGU
Molecule: ribosomal RNA, 230 nt
Filed under: uncultured bacterium
Lineage: Bacteria
Description: partial 16S ribosomal RNA
Rfam family: Bacterial small subunit ribosomal RNA
Source: RNAcentral